This is a long non-coding RNA of Oncorhynchus keta (chum salmon), 848 nucleotides long. RefSeq lists it as uncharacterized. Lineage: Eukaryota; Metazoa; Chordata; Actinopteri; Salmoniformes; Salmonidae. The transcript has 3 exons. The record is from RefSeq and is a predicted model, not a curated record.
CUCAUGAUGUAAUGGGAGGUAUUAAUGUCAGGUUGACAGGCCCUCAUGAUGUAAUGGGAGGUAUUAAUGUCAGGUUGACAGGCCCUCAUGAUGUAAUGGGAGGUAUUAAUGUCAGGUUGACAGGCCCUCAUGAUGUAAUGGGAGGUAUUAAUGUCAGGUUGACAGGCUCUCAUGAUGUAAUGGGAGGUAUUAAUGUCAGGUUGACAGGCCCUCAUGAUGUAAUGGGAGGUAUUAAUGUCAGGUUGACAGGCUCUCAUGAUGUAAUGGGAGGUAUUAAUGUCAGGUUGACAGGCCCUCAUGAUGUAAUGGGAGGUAUUAAUGUCAGGUUGACAGGCUCUCAUGAUGUAAUGUCAGGUUGACAGGCCCUCAUGAUGUAAUGUCAGGUUGACAGGCUCUCAUGAUGUAAUGUCAGGUUGACAGGCCCUCAUGAUGUAAUGUCAGAUUAACAGGCUCUCAUGAUGUAAUGUCAGAUUAACAGGCUCUCAUGAUGUAAUGUCAGGUUGACAGGCUCUCAUGAUGUAAUGUCAGAUUAACAGGCUCUCAUGAUGUAAUGUCAGAUUAACAGGCUCUCAUGAUGUAAUGGGAGGUAUUAAUGUCAGGUUGACAGGCUCUCAUGAUGUAAUGGGAGGUAUUAAUGUCAGAUUAACAGGCUCUCAUGAUGUAAUGGGAGGUAUUAAUGUCAGGUUGACAGGCCCUCAUGAUGUAAUGGGAGGUAUUAAUGUCAGAUUAACAGGCUCUCAUGAUGUAAUGGGAGGUAUUAAUGUCAGAUUAACAGGCUCUCAUGAUGUAAUGUCAGGUUGACAGGCUCUCAUGAUGUAAUGGGAGGUUGACAGGCUCUCAUGAUGUAA